CUCUAAUACAAUUUCUAGAUUAUAUAUUUUACGGAAUAUAUACAAUGAAAGUAUUAGUAUUAAAGAGAUUUAUCCCAUCCUAAUUUAGGUAAACAUGAAUCAGUAAAACAUAUGUUAGUACAAAAAUUGGAAUAUAUGUGUUUUAC
Molecule: non-coding RNA, 146 nt
Submitted as: unclassified sequences
Source: Rfam